Sinocyclocheilus rhinocerous is the source of this 1224-nucleotide long non-coding RNA. RefSeq lists it as uncharacterized. The transcript is spliced from 3 exons. The record is from RefSeq and is a predicted model, not a curated record. NCBI's taxonomy places the organism in Eukaryota, Metazoa, Chordata, Actinopteri, Cypriniformes, Cyprinidae.
AGUGUUUUGAGCUUGUCCGCAUUUGACAACAGGAAUGCAGUGUGGUUGAAGGUUCUCCACUAAAAUAACUUAUUAAAUUAAAAUCCAAAUAUGCUUCACCUACAGGUAAAUCCACCGUGUCUGUUGUUAGCUUUGCUAACUAUGCAUGGUUUGAAGAGUGGAAAGAUGACAAAGUAAAGAACAGAAGCAUAGAUUAUAAGGAGCUGAAGGAGGCGAUCAUCAACAACAUCUUAGAGGCAGUGACUGAGAUCUAUCCUAAGAUCAAGGACAGGAUUGAAUAUGUGGAUGCAGGCACCCCAAUCACCAAUCAGCAUUACAUUGCCGCUCCUGAAGGAGAGAUCUAUGGCAUUGAUCAUGAUAUUGCUCGCUUCAAUGUUGAACUAAACGCCACCAUCAGACCACAGACGCCCAUUAAAAACCUCUUCCUCACUGGCCAGGAUGUAUUGUUUUGUGGCUUUGCUGGAGCGCUGACAGGAGCGCUGACAUGUGGUUCUGUCAUCCUGAACCGUAACCUUCACCUGGAUGCCAUUGGUCUCGCCAAGAGAGUCAAGAAUGGCAACAACAAGAAGAAAGAAUAAGUAUCAGUAGUGCAUAAUGUUCAUAAUCAUUCCCAGAGAUAUCAGAUAUGGCUCUGGAGAAGAACAAAUGUAGGAUAUGUGUGAUUAAUAACCACUGCACUGCCUAACAAUAAUGCGCCACUGUAUUUGUACCUAAUCAUUUUAAAAUUAUUUUAUUGGCAAAGUGUUUACCAAGUGCCUUACUGGUUUAAAACUCAACUAUACAGUAAUUCAAAUCUAGUUUUAAUGCACUUAAAAGGGAAAUGAAUACGAUUCAGUUGAUUUAAUUUAAAUGGUUUUAUUGUAAGCUGUAAAAAAAUGCUGAGUUUUCCCAUUAACCUUCUUUUUGAAAGGUUUGUGUAAAAAGCAGAAGACAUGCUUGGCACUGUGUAUUUUGGGGGUUUUGUAACCAUCAACUGAAAUCUUAGUUGCACUUAGAAUUGAUUAAUUACUGUGGAUAUAGGCCUGUAGGUCUGUAUACAGGGUUUACAUGCAUCUUUCUCAAAUUAUAUAUUUGAGACGCUCUCUGAUGAUGUCAUCUGCACAGUUAUCUGUGCGUUUUUCUGCCUUUUUAAGUUGCAGUCAUAUUUCAGACUGGUAUAAAUAUGCCUAUAAAUGUACUUAUUAAUAUACAAUGGAUGCUUGUGCAUACUGAAUAAAUGUUCAU